GGGAAACUCACCAGGUCCAGACAUAGUAAGGAUUGACAGAUUGAUAGCUUUUUCUUGAUUCUAUGGGUGGUGGUGCAUGGCCGUUCUUAGUUCGUGGAGUGAUUUGUCUGCUUAAUUGCGUUAACGAACGAGACCUUAACCUGCUAAAUAGGCGCUUCUAUCUACGGAUAGAUUAUGUCUUCUUAGAGGGACUUUAUGCGUUUCAGCAUGAGGAAGUUUGAGGCUAAAA
This 229-nucleotide ribosomal RNA is filed under the name uncultured eukaryote. RNAcentral's name for it is "partial 18S ribosomal RNA". It matches the Rfam family "Eukaryotic small subunit ribosomal RNA", at positions 1208 to 1456 of the family's 1831-position model. The record is from RNAcentral.